CACGUAGGCGGUUUGUUAAGUCGGAUGUGAAAGCCCUCGGCUCAACUGAGGAAGUGCACCCGAAACUGGCAAGCUUGAGUACUAAAGAGGGUCGCGGAAUUCCCGGUGUAGAGGUGAAAUUCGUAGAUAUCGGGAGGAACACCGGUGGCGAAGGCGGCGACCUGGGUAGAUACUGACGCUGAGGUGCGAAAGCGUGGGGAGCAAACA
RNAcentral lists this ribosomal RNA (207 nucleotides) under uncultured bacterium. Its description in RNAcentral is "partial 16S ribosomal RNA". It matches the Rfam family "Bacterial small subunit ribosomal RNA", at positions 568 to 774 of the family's 1533-position model. The record is from RNAcentral.